GACGAACGCUGGCGGCGUGCCUAAUACAUGCAAGUCGAACGAGAGCGACCGGUGCUUGCACUGGUCAAUCUAGUGGCGCACGGGUGAGUAACACGUGGGUAACCUGCCCAUCAGAGGGGGAUACCAUCCGGAAACGGAUGCUAAAACCGCAUAGGUCUUCGAACCGCAUGGUUUGAAGAGGAAAAGAGGCGCAAGCUUCUGCUGAUGGAUGGACCCGCGGUGCAUUAGCUAGUUGGUGAGGUAACGGCUCACCAAGGCCGUGAUGCAUAGCCGACCUGAGAGGGUGAUCGGCCACAUUGGGAGUGAGACACGGCCCAAACGCCUACGGGAGGCAGCAGUAGGGAAUCUUCCGCAAUGGACGCAAGUCUGACGGAGCAACGCCGCGUGAGUGAAGAAGGUUUUCGGAUCGUAAAACUCUGUUGUUAGAGAAGAACAAGUGCUAGAGUAACUGUUAGCGCCUUGACGGUAUCUAACCAGAAAGCCACGGCUAACUACGUG
RNAcentral lists this ribosomal RNA (498 nucleotides) under uncultured bacterium. RNAcentral's name for it is "partial 16S ribosomal RNA". It matches the Rfam family "Bacterial small subunit ribosomal RNA", at positions 28 to 507 of the family's 1533-position model. The record is from RNAcentral.